Podarcis lilfordi (Lilford's wall lizard) is the source of this 127-nucleotide non-coding RNA. The record is from the annotation of a GenBank genome assembly. NCBI's taxonomy places the organism in Eukaryota, Metazoa, Chordata, Lepidosauria, Squamata, Lacertidae.
CUGUAUCCCCCAUUUCUCUCUCUCUCUCUCUCUCUCUCUCUCUCUCUCUCACACACACACACACACACACAGAGAGAGAGAGAGAGAGAAAGAGAAAGAGAAAGAGAAAGAAAGGGAGAGAGUUGUA